RNAcentral lists this ribosomal RNA (1339 nucleotides) under Lactiplantibacillus paraplantarum. Its description in RNAcentral is "bacterial SSU rRNA". It matches the Rfam family "Bacterial small subunit ribosomal RNA", at positions 37 to 1343 of the family's 1533-position model. Lineage: Bacteria; Bacillati; Bacillota; Bacilli; Lactobacillales; Lactobacillaceae. The record is from RNAcentral.
UGGCGGCGUGCCUAAUACAUGCAAGUCGAACGAACUCUGGUAUUGAUUGGUCUUGCAUCAUGAUUUACAUUUGAGUGAGUGGCGAACUGGUGAGUAACACGUGGGAAACCUGCCCAGAAGCGGGGGAUAACACCUGGAAACAGAUGCUAAUACCGCAUAACAACUUGGACCGCAUGGUCCGAGUUUGAAAGAUGGCUUCGGCUAUCACUUUUGGAUGGUCCCGCGGCGUAUUAGCUAGAUGGUGGGGUAACGGCUCACCAUGGCAAUGAUACGUAGCCGACCUGAGAGGGUAAUCGGCCACAUUGGGACUGAGACACGGCCCAAACUCCUACGGGAGGCAGCAGUAGGGAAUCUUCCACAAUGGACGAAAGUCUGAUGGAGCAACGCCGCGUGAGUGAAGAAGGGUUUCGGCUCGUAAAACUCUGUUGUUAAAGAAGAACAUAUCUGAGAGUAACUGUUCAGGUAUUGACGGUAUUUAACCAGAAAGCCACGGCUAACUACGUGCCAGCAGCCGCGGUAAUACGUAGGUGGCAAGCGUUGUCCGGAUUUAUUGGGCGUAAAGCGAGCGCAGGCGGUUUUUUAAGUCUGAUGUGAAAGCCUUCGGCUCAACCGAAGAAGUGCAUCGGAAACUGGGAAACUUGAGUGCAGAAGAGGACAGUGGAACUCCAUGUGUAGCGGUGAAAUGCGUAGAUAUAUGGAAGAACACCAGUGGCGAAGGCGGCUGUCUGGUCUGUAACUGACGCUGAGGCUCGAAAGUAUGGGUAGCAAACAGGAUUAGAUACCCUGGUAGUCCAUACCGUAAACGAUGAAUGCUAAGUGUUGGAGGGUUUCCGCCCUUCAGUGCUGCAGCUAACGCAUUAAGCAUUCCGCCUGGGGAGUACGGCCGCAAGGCUGAAACUCAAAGGAAUUGACGGGGGCCCGCACAAGCGGUGGAGCAUGUGGUUUAAUUCGAAGCUACGCGAAGAACCUUACCAGGUCUUGACAUACUAUGCAAAUCUAAGAGAUUAGACGUUCCCUUCGGGGACAUGGAUACAGGUGGUGCAUGGUUGUCGUCAGCUCGUGUCGUGAGAUGUUGGGUUAAGUCCCGCAACGAGCGCAACCCUUAUUAUCAGUUGCCAGCAUUAAGUUGGGCACUCUGGUGAGACUGCCGGUGACAAACCGGAGGAAGGUGGGGAUGACGUCAAAUCAUCAUGCCCCUUAUGACCUGGGCUACACACGUGCUACAAUGGAUGGUACAACGAGUUGCGAACUCGCGAGAGUAAGCUAAUCUCUUAAAGCCAUUCUCAGUUCGGAUUGUAGGCUGCAACUCGCCUACAUGAAGUCGGAAUCGCUAGUAAUC